This 955-nucleotide unclassified non-coding RNA is filed under the name Hevea brasiliensis (rubber tree). The record is from RNAcentral. Lineage: Eukaryota; Viridiplantae; Streptophyta; Magnoliopsida; Malpighiales; Euphorbiaceae.
AACAGACUGCAAGUGGAGCUGGAUUUAGGCAAAAAUUUGUUGGGCACUUGUUUUUUUUUUCUUAAUAAUAAAUAUAUUUAAUCCACUUAAUUUUUAUAAAAUUUGAAAUUCAUAAAAAAAAUCCUCAAAAUGGAGGGCAAUAAUUUGUGAUCUGUUUGGACUUUUUACAAUUUGUUGUAGGUAAAUUGAAAGUUGAACAAUGAGAUGGAUAAAUUAAAAAAACAUUUUUUUUUAAUACCAAAACGUUAUUUUUCAUACUCACAAUUUUUUUUUUAAUAAAUCUAAUGGUGACAUCUAGUUUUCAUGUGAGGCUUAUUUUUAUUUUUAGUCUAAUAAUUUGAAAGUUUUUAUUUCAGUCUUUCAAAAAUUCAGCUUUGUGGGAUUGAAUAACUUUUUAAGAUUAUUACGAGAAAAUAUGAUAACCCAAGUAAAAUAUGAUGACUCAAAUUAAAGAAUUACGUUAAACAAAUAUAAGAAUUUUUUGUUUAGUCAUACUUCAAUGUCUACUUGCUUCUCAUUCAAAUGAUUUACUUCAAAUAAACUAGUGCCUUAUUUUAGUUUUUGUUUCUCAUUGAACUUGAUGAGCAUAAAAAUCAUAAUAAUAUUUUUAAAGUUAUUUAUUUAUUAUAGGUAGCAUGGAUUUUGAUUUAAAUGAAAGUCAAGAUACUCUUUUUGAUGGGAUGACUAAUUGGGAAGAUCAUAAUAAAGAAAUACAAGAUAUUGAGAAUGAUAAAUUUGCUAUUAUAGAUUUAUAUAUAGGAAUGGAAUUCAAUUCACAUAUUGAGGCAUAUUCUUAAUUUCUUAUUACUAGGGAUGAGCAUUUGGUUAACCGAACCGAAUUGAACUGAAUUAUUAACCGACUCUAAAAAUAUUAACGGAAUUGAAUCGAAAUUGAGAGAAAACUGAAAUUAAUCAAAACUGAAAAUAUUCAGUCGGUUAUUAGUUAUAACCAAAC